CGCGUAGGCGGACUUUUAAGUCAGAUGUGAGAUCCCGGGGCUCAACCCCGGAACAGCAUUUGAAACUGAAAGUCUUGAGGGUAGAAGGAGAAAAUGGAAUUCCACAAGUAGCGGUGAAAUGCGUAGAUAUGUGGAAGAACACCGGUGGCGAAGGCGAUUUUCUAUUUUAUUCCUGACGCUGAGGCGCGAAAGUAAGGGGAUCAAACA
This 207-nucleotide ribosomal RNA is filed under the name uncultured bacterium. Its description in RNAcentral is "partial 16S ribosomal RNA". It matches the Rfam family "Bacterial small subunit ribosomal RNA", at positions 568 to 774 of the family's 1533-position model. The record is from RNAcentral.